AAACAUGUUUGUAAGUUUAUGUUUAUGAUUUAAUCUGCUCUAUGCAGUCAAUAGCUGCGGUAUUUUAACUGUACAAAGGUAGCAUAAUAAUUAGUUUUUUAAUUGAGAACUUGUAUGAACGAUUGAAUAUAAAAUUUUUAAUUAUAUAUGAAUUUUAUUUUUAAUUUAAAAAGAUUAAAUUAAUAAAAGGGACGAGAAGACCCUAUAGAAUUUAAUAACUUGGUUUAUUUAUUGGGGUGAUAAAAUUAACAUUCAUUUCAUAUUUGUGACUUGUGAUCUUGAAGAAAAUAAGUUUAAAUUACCUUAGGGAUAACAGCAUAAUUUUUAUUUAAAGUUCUUAUUUAAAUAAGAGAUUAUGACCUCGAUGUUGAAUUGAUAAUUCUUAGGAGUAGAAAUUAAGUU
This 402-nucleotide ribosomal RNA is filed under the name Macrohomotoma robusta. Its description in RNAcentral is "partial 16S ribosomal RNA". The record is from RNAcentral. Lineage: Eukaryota; Metazoa; Arthropoda; Insecta; Hemiptera; Carsidaridae.